GGGGCGGUGGUCUAGCUUGGUAUGAUACCAGCCCGGGGCGCUGGUGGUCGGGAGUUCGAAUCUUCCCCGCCCCA
This 74-nucleotide transfer RNA is filed under the name Candidatus Woesearchaeota archaeon. RNAcentral describes it as "tRNA-Pro". It matches the Rfam family "tRNA". From Rfam's summary of the family: Transfer RNA (tRNA) molecules are approximately 80 nucleotides in length. Their secondary structure includes four short double-helical elements and three loops (D, anti-codon, and T loops). The record is from RNAcentral. Lineage: Archaea; Nanobdellati; Candidatus Woesearchaeota.